Long non-coding RNA from Astyanax mexicanus (Mexican tetra), 644 nucleotides. RefSeq lists it as uncharacterized. The record is from RefSeq and is a predicted model, not a curated record. The transcript has 4 exons. NCBI's taxonomy places the organism in Eukaryota, Metazoa, Chordata, Actinopteri, Characiformes, Acestrorhamphidae.
CACAACUCUGCCCCCAAAAAUACGUCAUGCACAAAACCCCUGGUUUUUAGUGAGAGCCUGCAGGGAACGGCUCUAUUGCUCGUUCUGAGUUGAUGCCUUCCUUGACAUUUCUUGUGUUGUCGAAACAUCUUCUAUUCUCAAAUUACUGACUGCCCACCUGUCUGACCCGAUACCGAUGUUGGACCCUCAGGCUCUCGCGUCUCCUGUCCGGCCAGACUGAUGGAAGUUUCUGAAGUCAGCUCUUCUCCACCACCACCACAGGUCAGCUGCUCAUCGUCCAUCUUAUUCUCCACUACUGAUUACAUCCAAGCCAUUAGUGGCACUAUUACACUCCUGAAUACAUAAAACCUAUAUGGAUGUAUAAAAGACUUUUUAAAUUUUAAUUUAAAAGCCGUUUGACCAGUGGUAGGAUGGUCCCCCCUCAAAUGUGAGUCUUGGUCCUCCCAAGGUUUCUUCCUCCUCCUGCAGCUCUGAGGGAGUUUUUCCUUGCCUCCGCGCUCACUGGGGGUUCUGUAUUCUGUAUUUUCUAUGUUUAAUGUUUUGCCUGAUUCUUUGUCCUGUAAUCAUGUUUCUGUAAACUUCUUUGUGCCAACACCUGUUGUAAAAAAGCGCUAUACAAAUAAAUUUGAUUUGAUUUGAUAUAA